GACUGCGGUUUCUACCUGGACGUGGAAGAAAAAAAAAAUCACAAAUCCAUCUCAAGCUUGAGGAAGAGCAGGUGGUCGUCGGCUGCUAACAUAUUCCAACCUCCAACACUCGUACCCCAUCAUGAGUCUACAAUCCAAGAACAAACUGUGCGGGUGAAGUGUGGAAGUAGUUCAGAAUAUCUUCUCAAAACUGGAAGUAUGCAAGAAUCGGACAAAAAAGAAACGAUGAAGAAAAAAAAAACCGUUACAUGACCAAGAAAUAAUGAAUCAAAACCAACCGAAUUCUGUGGCUUUCACAACUGCUUCGCCUCAAGUUGCUGUUGUUGCACGCGCCGCCGCGGCUGAUUCCGGUGGGGGCGGCUCCGGCUACCUAUUCUACACUAUACACGUACAUAGCUCCAAAUCCAAACUCCAAAAAGCACAAGCAUAAAAAUCGUAUCUACUAGACAUGAUCUCUCUUUCGCCCCUUGGUUUGCCUACUGCUUCUCUCUCUAAAAUGUAGUGUAACACACUCAAUCUCAAGUUCUGUUGUGGAUAGGAUCCGAUCCUCUCCGAACUUUCCUCUUGCUCGAAUGGUUUGGAUCGAAUGUUGGGCCCAAAGCAGGUGCCUUGUUGCCCGUAGGCAGCGUGUUCGUGUUCGUGUUUGUGUCGGCUGCCAUGAGCACGCGAUGAAGGCGGCUGCCGCAGGCUUCUUGAGGAUGGAAUGCUAACAAUCCUACACAUAUCAACACCAAAAUUGACCUGUGAGUGCACAAAAUCAACAUAGCUUAGGUGCUUGUGUAAAAUUUUUGAGUUGUAUGAUUGUGAUCCAUCCAAAACCAAUUCUUAUAGGAUUUUUGGAGGGUGAUUUUAAAGCAUAAAGCAAGGAGAGGGCCCCCAAUCCAUAUAAGAGUUUUUGGAUUCACCCUCAAUCAUAUAUCUCUAUGCUAACAACUAAGGCUGUUUAUUUAUUGAGAGCCAAAAAAAGGAGAAUCUAAAGGUGAUUGGAAUGCAACACUUACACCACCCUCGAGAAGCUAAGCAUCUUUUUCUCACAUCAUUUGCUCUGCUUUUGUCUUCUUCAACAAAGACCAUUCCUGGUCCAACUCGGCAGCCACGUCAGCAUCCCCCCGCUUACGUGGCUGCACUUUUGUGACAUGUACUAUAACUCUGUCGGAAUAUCAUGCAUGAUUAUGAUUUUCAACUUUAUGAGAUGCUUA
Salvia miltiorrhiza (redroot sage) is the source of this 1199-nucleotide long non-coding RNA. RefSeq lists it as uncharacterized. NCBI's taxonomy places the organism in Eukaryota, Viridiplantae, Streptophyta, Magnoliopsida, Lamiales, Lamiaceae. The transcript has 2 exons. The record is from RefSeq and is a predicted model, not a curated record.